Molecule: ribosomal RNA, 226 nt
Filed under: Triticum aestivum (bread wheat)
Lineage: Eukaryota; Viridiplantae; Streptophyta; Magnoliopsida; Poales; Poaceae
Description: partial small subunit ribosomal RNA
Source: RNAcentral
GUUUAAAGUUUGACGUAGGAAGGGCACACAAGUUGAUGUUUGCAGUUACAGAUUUUUGCCAAAGCCCGCUGAAACGAAGUUUAGUUCAGCAGACCAUAUAUGUUGGAAGAAAGCAAAUUUCUUGCCUUCCGAAUCCUCCGAAGCCAUCAUAUUUUAUUUCAGACCGAUUUGUCCCAGCUCAGUGUAUCUCUGGUAAAAUACGAACAACAUUGUUUUUACUUUUUUU